Molecule: ribosomal RNA, 30 nt
Filed under: Bemisia tabaci
Lineage: Eukaryota; Metazoa; Arthropoda; Insecta; Hemiptera; Aleyrodidae
Description: partial 5.8S ribosomal RNA
Source: RNAcentral
CGAACGGUGGAUUAACUCGGGCUCGCGGAU